This 899-nucleotide ribosomal RNA is filed under the name uncultured bacterium. RNAcentral describes it as "bacterial SSU rRNA". It matches the Rfam family "Bacterial small subunit ribosomal RNA", at positions 8 to 916 of the family's 1533-position model. The record is from RNAcentral.
AGAGUUUGAUCCUGGCUCAGGAUGAACGCUAGCGGCAGGCUUAACACAUGCAAGUCGAGGGGUAUAGGUUUUCGGACCUAGAGACCGGCGCACGGGUGCGUAACGCGUAUGCAAUCUACCUUUCACAAAGGGAUAGCCCAGAGAAAUUUGGAUUAAUACCUCAUAGUAUUAUGAAAUGGCAUCAUUUUAUAAUUAAAGUCACAACGGUGAAAGAUGAGCAUGCGUCCCAUUAGCUAGUUGGUAAGGUAACGGCUUACCAAGGCUACGAUGGGUAGGGGUCCUGAGAGGGAGAUCCCCCACACUGGUACUGAGACACGGACCAGACUCCUACGGGAGGCAGCAGUGAGGAAUAUUGGACAAUGGGCGCAAGCCUGAUCCAGCCAUGCCGCGUGCAGGAUGACGGUCCUAUGGAUUGUAAACUGCUUUUGUACAGGAAGAAACACUGGUUCGUGAACCAGCUUGACGGUACUGUAAGAAUAAGGAUCGGCUAACUCCGUGCCAGCAGCCGCGGUAAUACGGAGGAUCCAAGCGUUAUCCGGAAUCAUUGGGUUUAAAGGGUCCGUAGGCGGUUUAGUAAGUCAGUGGUGAAAGCCCAUCGCUCAACGGUGGAACGGCCAUUGAUACUGCUAAACUUGAAUUAUUAGGAAGUAACUAGAAUAUGUAGUGUAGCGGUGAAAUGCUUAGAGAUUACAUGGAAUACCAAUUGCGAAGGCAGGUUACUACUAAUGGAUUGACGCUGAUGGACGAAAGCGUGGGUAGCGAACAGGAUUAGAUACCCUGGUAGUCCACGCCGUAAACGAUGGAUACUAGCUGUUGGAAGCAAUUUCAGUGGCUAAGCGAAAGUGAUAAGUAUCCCACCUGGGGAGUACGUUCGCAAGAAUGAACUCAAGGAUUGACGG